This 498-nucleotide ribosomal RNA is filed under the name uncultured bacterium. RNAcentral describes it as "partial 16S ribosomal RNA". It matches the Rfam family "Bacterial small subunit ribosomal RNA", at positions 28 to 507 of the family's 1533-position model. The record is from RNAcentral.
GACGAACGCUGGCGGCGUGCCUAAUACAUGCAAGUCGAGCGGACGAAUCGAAAGCUUGCUUUUGAUUCGUUAGCGGCGGACGGGUGAGUAACACGUGGGCAACCUGCCCUGUAGACGGGGAUAACACCGAGAAAUCGGUGCUAAUACCGGAUAACACGAAAUGUCGCAUGACGUUUCGUUGAAAGACGGCGCAAGCUGCCGCUACAGGAUGGGCCCGCGGCGCAUUAGCUAGUUGGUGACGUAACGGCUCACCAAGGCGACGAUACGUAGCCGACCUGAGAGGGUGAUCGGCCACACUGGGACUGAGACACGGCCCAGACUCCUACGGGAGGCAGCAGUAGGGAAUCUUCCGCAAUGGACGAAAGUCUGACGGAGCAACGCCGCGUGAGCGAAGAAGGCCUUCGGGUCGUAAAGCUCUGUUGUUAGGGAAGAACAAGUAACGCAGUAACUGGCGUUACCGUGACGGUACCUAACGAGAAAGCCACGGCUAACUACGUG